RNAcentral lists this ribosomal RNA (737 nucleotides) under Meccus pallidipennis. RNAcentral's name for it is "SSU rRNA". It matches the Rfam family "Eukaryotic small subunit ribosomal RNA", at positions 500 to 1151 of the family's 1831-position model. Lineage: Eukaryota; Metazoa; Arthropoda; Insecta; Hemiptera; Reduviidae. RNAcentral also lists the same sequence under 7 other names. The record is from RNAcentral.
GCCCCGUAAUCGGAAUGAGUACACUUUAAAUCCUUUAACAAGGAUCCAUUGGAGGGCAAGUCUGGUGCCAGCAGCCGCGGUAAUUCCAGCUCCAAUAGCGUAUAUUAAAGUUGUUGCGGUUAAAAAGCUCGUAGUUGGUUCUGCGUGCCGCGCUGUCGGUUCGCCGCCUGUCGGUGUAACUGGCAUGUCGCGGCAUGUCCUGUCGGUGGUGAACGGAGUCCACAAUGCUACAUAGGCUUUAUAGCCGAUGUUAGCGUCGUGUGUACUUCCGUUGGCCGAUCUCUCCUACUUCGGUGCUCUUAAACGAGUGUCGAGGUAGGCCGACACGUUCACUUUGAACAAAUUAGAGUGCUUAAAGCAGGCUAAAAUCUCUGCCUGAAUAGUGGUGCAUGGAAUGAUAAAACAGGACCUCGGUUCUAUUUUGUUGGUUUUAGGAAUAUGAGGUAAUGAUCAAUGUGGACUGGCGGGGGCAUUCGUAUUGCGACGUUAGAGGUGAAAUUCUUGGAUCGUCGCAAGACGCACUAGAGCGAAAGCAUUUGCCAAGUAUGUCUUAAUUGAUCAAGAACGAAAGUUAGAGGUUCGAAGGCGAUCAGAUACCGCCCUAGUUCUAACCAUAAACGAUGCCAGCCAGCGAUCCGCCGAUGUUCCUUUAAUGACUCGGCGGGGAGCUUCCACCCGGGAAACCAAAGCUUUUGGGUUCCGGGGGAAGUAUGGUUGCAAAGCUGAAACUUAAAGGA